This 486-nucleotide ribosomal RNA is filed under the name uncultured bacterium. RNAcentral describes it as "partial 16S ribosomal RNA". It matches the Rfam family "Bacterial small subunit ribosomal RNA", at positions 30 to 507 of the family's 1533-position model. The record is from RNAcentral.
AUUGAACGCUGGCGGCAUGCCUUACACAUGCAAGUCGAACGGCAGCACGGGUGCUUGCACCUGGUGGCGAGUGGCGAACGGGUGAGUAAUACAUCGGAACAUGUCCUGUAGUGGGGGAUAGCCCGGCGAAAGCCGGAUUAAUACCGCAUACGAUCUACGGAUGAAAGCGGGGGACCUUCGGGCCUCGCGCUAUAGGGUUGGCCGAUGGCUGAUUAGCUAGUUGGUGGGGUAAAGGCCUACCAAGGCGACGAUCAGUAGCUGGUCUGAGAGGACGACCAGCCACACUGGGACUGAGACACGGCCCAGACUCCUACGGGAGGCAGCAGUGGGGAAUUUUGGACAAUGGGCGAAAGCCUGAUCCAACAAUGCCGCGUGUGUGAAGAAGGCCUUCGGGUUGUAAAGCACUUUUGUCCGGAAAGAAAUCCUUGGCCCUAAUACGGUCGGGGGAUGACGGUACCGGAAGAAUAAGCACCGGCUAACUACGUG